GGGCAGGUUUAUCAUCUUUGCAGGAGCUCCAUGUAGGGAGCAGACUGAGGCUUGCAGUCACCCUGGAAGCUGUGGUUAAGUUUCCACAUACUCUGUCAACACACACAUUUAGACAAGAGGGAGGUUCUGCAUCCCCCUGAGAUGAUAUCAGCAAGGGAAGGCUUUGCCCCUCCCAACCACUAGAGGAGAGGAAAAUGGCCUCAUGGCUAGGGAAGCAUGGAUAGGAAACAGAUAGGAAGAUGCUGAAUAAACAAGAGACUCCAGUGUUGCAACAUGGAACUGAGAGCUCUCUAAAGGUGACAAGAUGCUUGUGUUUGGUCUUUAUCGCUGUCUGGUUGCUAGGAGUUUCCAAGUCCAUGUUCCCCCACUCAGGCCAAACCUCAUGGAUACCACGGCUUGGGGCUGAGACAUGCCACGACAAAAUGGCUCCUGAACACAGGAUCUGAGAACGGGGGAAGAAGCCAUGGACACCACGAAGAAAGGGACACCAAAGAAGCAAUGGACAAGGCAGAGGUGUGGACAAUUCAAAGAGAUAGUCAUUGAGGUCGAACCAGCCAGAGAAGAGGCACAUGCAGGAAAAAGAAGAAAGAAGUGGCCGAGUGUGACAAUCGGCUCAGUGGGAAUGCUAGACUCAGUGGCCUUGGUGUUUGUGAGCCCUCCUGCUGCUACAGAGAGGAGACAGAUGAGGAGAAAAGACUAG
This 700-nucleotide long non-coding RNA is filed under the name Cricetulus griseus (Chinese hamster). Its description in RNAcentral is "lncRNA (ENSCGRG00000025826.1)". The record is from RNAcentral. Lineage: Eukaryota; Metazoa; Chordata; Mammalia; Rodentia; Cricetidae.